Molecule: ribosomal RNA, 332 nt
Filed under: uncultured prokaryote
Description: bacterial SSU rRNA
Rfam family: Bacterial small subunit ribosomal RNA
Source: RNAcentral
AGAUUGAACGCUGGUCGGCAUGCCUAACACAUGCAAGUCGAGCGGGCAGCGCGGGGGCGACCCUGGCGGCGAGCGGCGGAACGGGUGAGUAAGGCAUCGGAAUCUGCCCUGAUGUGGGGGAUAACGUAGGGAAACUUACGUUUAAUACCGCAUACGACCGAGAGGGUGAAAGCGGGGGACCGAAAGGCCUCGCGCAGCAGGAUGAGCCGAUGUCCGAUUAGCUAGUUGGUGGGUUAACGGCCUACCAAGGCGACGAUCGGUAGACUGGUUCUGAGAGGGACGACCAGCCACACUGGGACUGAGACACGGCCCAGACUCCUACGGGAGGCAGC